GAUGAACGCUGACAGAAUGCUUAACACAUGCAAGUCAACUUGAAUUUGGGUUUUUAACUUAGGUUUGGGUGGCGGACGGGUGAGUAACGCGUAAAGAACUUGCCUCACAGCUAGGGACAACAUUUGGAAACGAAUGCUAAUACCUAAUAUUAUGAUAAUAGGGCAUCCUAUAAUUAUGAAAGCUAUAAGCGCUGUGAGAGAGCUUUGUGUCCCAUUAGCUAGUUGGAGAGGUAACGGCUCACCAAGGCGAUGAUGGGUAGCCGGCCUGAGAGGGUGAUCGGCCACAAGGGGACUGAGACACGGCCCUUACUCCUACGGGAGGCAGCAGUGGGGAAUAUUGGACAAUGGACCGAGAGUCCGAUCCAGCAAUUCUGUGUGCACGAUGAAGUUUUUCGGAAUGUAAAGUGCUUUCAGUUGGGAAGAAACAAAUGACGGUACCAACAGAAGAAGUGACGGCUAAAUACGUG
This 467-nucleotide ribosomal RNA is filed under the name uncultured bacterium. RNAcentral's name for it is "partial 16S ribosomal RNA". It matches the Rfam family "Bacterial small subunit ribosomal RNA", at positions 28 to 507 of the family's 1533-position model. The record is from RNAcentral.